RNAcentral lists this long non-coding RNA (314 nucleotides) under Mus musculus (house mouse). RNAcentral describes it as "long non-coding RNA chr11:86185328-86185642". The record is from RNAcentral. Lineage: Eukaryota; Metazoa; Chordata; Mammalia; Rodentia; Muridae.
AUGGCCAAGUUCAUCCGUAAUUUCACAGAGAAGGCACCAUCGAUGGUGGCCGCUGCCGUGACUUAUUCGAAGCCUUGAUUGGUCACAUUUUGGCACUAUGCCAAGGCUGAGCUGGUUUCCCCCAACCUGUGGUGAAAUCCCUACAGCUAUUCAGAGUGUGAAAAAAAAUCAUUCAAAGUGCUAAAACUGGUAGCUUCAAACACCUUACAGUGAAGGAAGCUGUGCUGAAUGGUUUGGUGGCCACUGAGGUGUGGAUGUGGUUUUAUAUCGGAGAGAUCAUAGGCAAACUUGGCAUUGUUGGCUAUGAUGUUUGA